This 407-nucleotide ribosomal RNA is filed under the name uncultured bacterium. Its description in RNAcentral is "partial 16S ribosomal RNA". It matches the Rfam family "Bacterial small subunit ribosomal RNA", at positions 30 to 526 of the family's 1533-position model. The record is from RNAcentral.
AUUGAACGCUGGCGGCAGGCCUAACACAUGCAAGUCGAGCGGAGCGGCGGACGGGUGAGUAAUGCCUAGGAAUCUGCCUGGUAGUGGGGGAUAACGUCCGGAAACGGGCGCUAAUACCGCAUACUAUCAGAUCAGCCGAGGGCGGAUUCGCUAGUUGGUGGGGUAACGGCCUAACAAGGCGACGAACCGUAACUGGUCUGAUAGGAUGAUCAGUCGCACUGGAACUGAGAGACGGUGCAGACUCCUACAGGAGGCAGCAGUGGGGAAGUGUGGAAAAUGGGCGAAAGCCUGAUCCAGCCAUGCCGCGUGUGUGAAGGAGGUCUUCGGGUUGUAGAGCACUAAAAGUUUGGAGGCGUUACCAGCAGAAUAAGCACCGGCUAACUUCGUGCCAGCAGCCGCGGUAAUAC